GACGAACGCUGGCGGCGUGCUUAACACAUGCAAGUCGAACGGAAAGGCCCUGCUUAGGUGGGGUGCUCGGAUGACGAACGGGGGAGUAACACGUGGGUAAGCUGCCAUUGACUGUGGGAUAACUUCAGGAAACUGGGGCUAAUACCGGAUAGGAGCUCCUGCUGCAUGGUGGGGGUUGGAAAGUUUCGGCGGUUGGGGAUGGACUCGCGGCUUAUCAGCUUGAUGGUGUGGUAGUGGCUGAGCAAGGCUUGGAAGGGUAGCCGGCCUGCGAGGGUGACCGGCCACAUUGGGACUGAGCUACGGCCCAGACUCCUACGGGAGGCAGCAGAGGGGAAUAUUGCACUGUGGGCGGAAGCCUGAUGCAGCAACGCCGCGUGCGGGAUGACGGCCUUCGGGUUGUAUUCCGCUUUCGCCUGUGACGAAGCGUGAGUGACGGUAAUGGGUAAAGAAGCACCGGCUAACUACGUG
Molecule: ribosomal RNA, 468 nt
Filed under: uncultured bacterium
Lineage: Bacteria
Description: partial 16S ribosomal RNA
Rfam family: Bacterial small subunit ribosomal RNA
Source: RNAcentral